UGACAUGAUUUCUCUUGUAUUUCUUUUCUUUCUUUAGUUUUUUUUUUUAAUUUAAAAAAAAUGCUAAUUGAAAAAGAUAGCAGGUUUUUUUUUUUUUUCAGAAAGAAGGUCCUUCUUCUUCUUCUUCUUGUGCUGCUAUUUGCUGACCGUCUGUGUCUUCUGGAACGGAGACACCGGUCCUUAUAUACCCGUGCCGCCACUGGGACACUGAAGACACAUGGCCCAUCCUCCUGCUGAAGAAAUAUUAGAUACAGCACGCAGGCGGGUGUAGGUGAGUUGAGAGGGCUACCACCUACUCUCUCUAUAUGCACACAUCUCUCCCUUUCUCUGCUUGUGUGUGUGUGGGGGGUUUACCAAUGAAAAUAUAUAAGCCAUCACACCUUUUUUCAACCGAAAGAUGCCCAGCAGCGGUGAAAGCAUCUGUUUGUAGCGCAGGUGAACGCUGGAAUUCACGCAACGAUAAUUCGUUUAUUGGCUAUCCGCAUUGCGAAAAAAAAAAAAAUAAUAUAACGUUCUUCUUCUUUAAAUAAGUAUUAAAUUAAAGUUUGAGAAAAAAAAAAAAACAAACAAAACUUGAUUUGUUUAAUGGAAGGGGACGAGAUUGAAACGGAACAAAAGGUGAAUGACGAUGACCUAGAAAAAUGAGAGAACCUGAAAAUGCUGCUCUUUCUUGUGCCUAUUUUGAAUGAAAUCAGGAGAAAGAAAAAGUUCGGCGUGAUCCCCUUCACUUUCACCCCCAUUUUUGCUCGUAACACAGCAGCGGACAGACGAGAAAAGGAAUGCACCGUGAGUGUGUUGCCGAUUGCGGUGCAUUGAUCCCAUUCACGCUGCGCCCAAAGGGAAAGGGGGGGACGCAUAAUUGAGAAGGAAUUCCGGAACUGCGGGCGUGUGUAUUACAAUUGUCAUCAUUAUUUAUGAACCGAG
Daphnia carinata is the source of this 924-nucleotide long non-coding RNA. RefSeq lists it as uncharacterized. NCBI's taxonomy places the organism in Eukaryota, Metazoa, Arthropoda, Branchiopoda, Diplostraca, Daphniidae. The transcript is spliced from 4 exons. The record is from RefSeq and is a predicted model, not a curated record.